Oncorhynchus kisutch (coho salmon) is the source of this 4548-nucleotide RNA transcript. It is a transcript of the gene named protein FAM219A-like, with no coding region annotated. The record is from RefSeq and is a predicted model, not a curated record. The transcript is spliced from 9 exons. NCBI's taxonomy places the organism in Eukaryota, Metazoa, Chordata, Actinopteri, Salmoniformes, Salmonidae.
CCAGACCCGGAAGAUGGUAUCGGCGUAUCUCUGUCUGUUUUGGUUGAGUCACCUCGGACCAUGCCUUAACCACUGAUGCCUUACUGUGUGGUUAUAGGCAGAAACCAACUAGAAUCAUGCAAACUAACAGAUAAUUCUUGCGACAAACUAAGGCCUUAUUUGUUUAUUUUUAUGCUUACAAAUGUUUAGAUCUUACAUCGGUUUGGCGGUGUAACGAAGGAUUCGUCAAAAUGAUGGAGGAAGAAAUGGAUAGGUUCCAAGUACCCCCAGUAACAGAGACACAGCCCUUGCAGGACCCAGCAGCAUCCGACACCUCUGAGGCCGACUCUGACACUAGAGAAGGUGAGACGGUGGCCAUGAACUACAAGCCCUCCCCACUGCAAGUGAAAAUAGAGAAACAGAGAGAGCUGGCCAGGAAGGGAUCAGUAAAGAAUAGCCCUGUCAACCACCAACCAAAGAAGAACAACGUCAUGGCCAGAACACGUUUGGUGGUGCCAAACAAAGGCUACUCCUCUUUAGACCAGACCAGCCCGGAUGAGAAGCCCCUGGUUACGCUGGACACAGACAGUGAUGAUGACUUUGACAUGUCCAGAUACUCUUCGUCUGGAUACUCCUCCGCCGAGGUGAGAUGUCUGAGGGACCAGCAGAUCAACCAGGAUCUCAACAUCCAGCUUCUGAAGGACGGUUACCGGCUCGACGAAAUCCCUGACGAUGAAGAUCUGGAUCUGAUCCCGCCCAAAUCAGUCAACCCCACCUGCAUAUGCUGCCAAGCCACCACCUCCUCAGCCUGCCAGAUCCAAUAGCCCCUCCCACAAUAUACGCCAUGACUCCGCCCUCUGCAGUGAGCUCACCUCACCACUGGGGCGGUGACAGGGAGAAAGAAUGCAAUGAUCGGAGGGGGAGAAAAAAACAGAAGAAUAGGUCUAUUGGAAUUAGUGUGGAUAUGAAAAGGGUGAAAAUGCACAAAAUAUGUACUCCUAUGGUAGGACAUGUGCGUACAUUUGUUUGUUAUGUUCCAGUGAGAUACUCGUUUUUUUUGUCUGAGUAGUAUUCUUGGAAAAAAACACAAGGACAAAAGAAGGACUCAAGAAUGCAGUGUUUCCAAGAUUGCCUGUUGUGGAAUAGAUCUUCGCCUUUGCAUGUCCUCCUGAAAGUCUUUGUUUCUGUUACGAUUGUUUGGCAUGACAAUGACCGUAGGAGUUGGCAAGACUGCACAAACUUAUCUGGGACCACGCUAGUGAAGCCAGUGUGUAUUUAGUGUCAUUCUACUAAUAUCCACAUGAAAAUGAUUGUAUCUUAUAUAGUGGAUAUUUCGUUAAAUCUUAAUAGGUUUCAGUUACCCCUCAAAAAUCAUUGUGUAUUAGGUCUUCCUGCUUAUACUUGUACUCAUUGUUAAUUUCAGUUUAUGCUGUCUUCACUUGUCUACUAUUGUACUUAUGAUCUUGGGAUAUUUUCCUUUUUUUGUGUGUGUAAAUUGCUUUGAACAGUUGAAUGAAAAUGGAUUAUUAUUAUUACACAUAGGUAAGAAAAGCUCAUUUUCCAAUGUGCUUAAUAGGAUUAAUGUGCUAACGAGUACUGUACCUGCCAUACUGUAAUACCAUUUACUAGUCCUGACACCCAGUGGGUGUGGGUAUUGUAGUUUAACUGUGCCAAAGGCACAUUCCUUUCCUGGUAUGAUGGUGUAAAAUAAAUCAUUCUUAAUGAAGCCAUCCAUUAUGGCCGUUAUGCCCAUGAAAGUUAACAAGAGAUGGUGAUAAAUUAUUAUAUCAAUAUACCAGUUGAAAUGGAGAAUGUGUCCUUUCUGAUUUCUGGAGCAGGGAUGAUACCAGCAAACUUGUACUAAUGAUAGUGGUUUGGCAACAUGUCCACCUUUACCCACAGCAGCCCAUGUUCUCUAGGCUAUAGUGCUUCCAGAAGUAGGCUGUAGUGCCACCUUGUGCUUCUCUCACUGCCACCGACACAGUCACGAGCCAUUCAUAGGAGUCUGUGCAACCACACAUGCACUGUACACACGGUACACAAACACAGCGUGCACUGUAAAAUGUGUCACAUGAAGAAUUGCAACUUGUUGAAAGGGAAUGUCUAACAAUCCAAGACUGUGUAUAGCAUACUGUAUGUAACGAAAGGGAUGGGAAAUGUAAGGAUGUUCUUUACUAUACUGCUUUGGGCGCUUGGUUAUCCAAUGCAUUCCACCGUAGUGCGAUGAAUGAUAUGAGGAAGGGUUGACUCUAGUGUGAAUCCACUCAAAUGAUGGACAAUUCAAGUGCAAACAGGUCAAUCCAAAACAAUGAAAAUACCUGCUGUUUGUGAUGGUACAAAACAGGGAACACUGUGUUCAGUAGGCACGAAAUGGAAAAACGCUUAAGAUAACAUCAUCCCGAUGGCAAAUGCAAUGGGAAUGUAUACCUGCUUUGGCUGAGACCUAAGCGUUAGUUUCCCCUGUCAUUGAACUGAGUUCAUACUUCAUCUCACCCCUGAGUUAACUAAAGUAGAGUAUGCCUUAAGUAAUGCAUUUUAGUGGAAGAUAUUUAUUGCCAGUGGUAUGUUUUAAUUUAUUUGAAAAAAUGGGUAUGCAUUUUAACAUGGACACAGAGGGCAACACUUUUACAUCUGUGAAACUGCACCGGAAUAUUACAGUACUGACAAUAUUUUGAGCUUAGUGCCGUUUUGUGGAUGUAAAAGGUUGUCCAUAGUCUCUAUUUUUAUCCAGAUGCUUAUUAUGAUUGUAAAGAAGAUGCGAACAACUUCAGUAUGUAACAAUGUUAUCGUUCUGUGUAGUGUAUCAUGUCUUCUAAUAAAUAUCAGAGGUCUGAAUUAAAAGAUGUGAUGCAAGUUCCAGGAAAAAUAUGCACAUCCAAUGGUCAGGUGCUGGCUGGAAAAAAACGAAACUAAAUCAAAUAGAACAAUGUCAGCAACUAUGUAAUGCAUGUUGUCUUUUGCUCUGUCCAAAAAUAAUUCCAUCUUUGAAAAAAACUGAUGUAAAGUUUGCACCUGGUGAGAGUUUCUGAUAAAAAAAAAAUGUUGAGAGCAAAUUGUAAGCAAUGACCAAGGGCGUGUACAGUAAUUACGUUCACCAGUGAAAGGGGGUUUGACAGUGACUAUGGGCCAGGUCAGAAGGGUGUGGGGAGGGAAGAGGGGGUGAUUAGCCUGACUUUAUCCCCAGAGACAGAUGAUGGACUGUGGCUCCUAUGACAGGACAGUACGAGGAUAUCAUCAGGACGUGGAGCCAUUUUAAUGAGAAUGUUGUCCUGAGCGGCUGUACUACUCCUGCCGUGUUCAGUUACUGCAUGCCUACACGUUGCCUGCUGUAUCCUAUGAGUUCACCACCUAUAGGAUGCAGCAGUACAACGUACAGCAGGAAAAACAUGGUAGGGUCACAUGGCCAGAGUUAUUUAGUAUCUGCACCAGUAUAAAGUUUACACCCGUUAUUUUACUAUUUCAAACAAUUCUAGUGCAGGUCCGCAGUUAAGUUUAUGCAUGUGUUUUGACCAGUGACCUCCGUGUUGGGCUGUGGAGGUUGUCGCGGUGCCACAGUGCAGGCGGAGGCCCGCUCAGCAGAAGAACCGGUGUUAGCAGGACGCUGUGUAGUCAUGAAGCUGCCGGACUUCACCAUGACGCAAAAGCUGGGGGUGCUGUACUCCUCCUGCUCCCCAAAAAACAUGUCCUCCAUCCCCCAGGAUAUCAUACAGAGCUUCAUGGUGAGUGAGAGCGAAGUGCUGCUGCAGUCUACCAUCAUUCCUGUGAGAAUGGAGGACGAGCAGCUCCUCUAUAUGUCCGAAGAGGUCAAGCACGCAGCAGCCACCCUCACCUCCUCUAUACUGGUCCGAGGUGAAAGGAGGAGGGUCUGGAGAGGGGGGCGAGGAAAGAAAGGGGUAGAAACUGAAGAGGGAUUAGGAGGAGUGCAUAUAGCGCAAUGUAAAAUGAGAUUUGAAUAGUCAUACACUUAAUUGGUUCAGCAUCUUUCAUACAUCACAGCUUGAAUUUUUCUCUCUCCCUCUCUCUUUUAUUGAAUUUCUCAUUCUGUCUCGGCAGUGUAUGGUGUAUGGUCACAGCCACCCUAUUUCAGAUUCUAGUGAGCAACACCAAGCCGAUCACUGACAACACAAUCAUCACUCUGGAGGGUGUACUUCCUGGUGCUGGAGAGGAUGUGCCCACCAUAGUAAUCUCGCCCCACUAUGACUCAUACGGCCUUACUCCAGUAAGUCAACAUCACACUGUGUAUGCACUAGUGAAAUAGACAUUUAUUCACAUUGUGUGUGUGUGCGCAUGUGUGUGUGAAACAGUGGCUGUCAUGGAGCAGACUCCAACGGUAGCGGAGUGACCAUCCUGCUUGAGCUGGUCGGUCUCUUCCAGAAACUUUACAACAACCCCUACAGCCAGCCUCCCUGAGUUACUCACACACACACACACAGUGUAUUUUAGCUUUUUUUUUUUACAGAUCAUUAAUGAGUAAUUGUAGCUCAGUUUGUAGAACAUGAUGCUUGCAAUGCCAGGAUAGUGGGUUCAAUUCACCGGACCACACAUAUGUAAAAUAUAUGCACGCAUAAC